Molecule: long non-coding RNA, 400 nt
Organism: Silurus meridionalis
Lineage: Eukaryota; Metazoa; Chordata; Actinopteri; Siluriformes; Siluridae
Exons: 3
Source: RefSeq, a predicted model, not a curated record
CACACACACACACACACACACACACACACACACACACACACACAGAACGAGAUGUCUGACUCAGAGAGUGCUGUUCCGGCGGAGAGCUCUGUCCCGGCCACCUGCGAGUCCAUUAAAGUAGAUCUGGACAAGUGUAUAAAGAAUAAUGGAGAAUCUGCGUGUAAGGAGCUGAUGGAGGCGUUCACUGCUUGUGUAAAGAGCAACACUACACCAUCAUGAGGAGCUUCGACACAGGACAGGUCUACAGGUCUUCCACAUUCCCAGCAGCCUUGAACUUGAUGUCUCGGUGGGAUUUGGCAGCAGAACCCCACACCUUUUCUCUUACUGUUAUUUCCCCUUUAAGGUUUAGAUGGUAUCUCUAACACCCCCACCCCCACCCCCAACCCAAUGAUUUUUUUCA